AGCGGCGGACGGGUGAGUAAUGCCUAGGAAUCUGCCUAGUGGUGGGGGAUAACGUUCGGAAACGGACGCUAAUACCGCAUACGUCCUACGGGAGAAAGCGGGGGACCUUCGGGCCUCGCGCCAUUAGAUGAGCCUAGGUCGGAUUAGCUAGUUGGUGAGGUAAUGGCUCACCAAGGCGACGAUCCGUAACUGGUCUGAGAGGAUGAUCAGUCACACUGGAACUGAGACACGGUCCAGACUCCUACGGGAGGCAGCAGUGGGGAAUAUUGGACAAUGGGCGAAAGCCUGAUCCAGCCAUGCCGCGUGUGUGAAGAAGGUCUUCGGAUUGUAAAGCACUUUAAGUUGGGAGGAAGGGUAGUAACUUAAUACGUUGCUACUUUGACGUUACCGACAGAAUAAGCACCGGCUAACUUCGUGCCAGCAGCCGCGGUAAUACGAAGGGUGCAAGCGUUAAUCGGAAUUACUGGGCGUAAAGCGCGCGUAGGUGGUUCAGUAAGUUGGAAGUGAAAUCCCCGGGCUCAACCUGGGAACUGCUUUCAAAACUGCUGAGCUAGAGUACGGUAGAGGGUGGUGGAAUUUCCUGUGUAGCGGUGAAAUGCGUAGAUAUAGGAAGGAACACCAGUGGCGAAGGCGACCACCUGGACUGAUACUGACACUGAGGUGCGAAAGCGUGGGGAGCAAACAGGAUUAGAUACCCUGGUAGUCCACGCCGUAAACGAUGUCAACUAGCCGUUGGGGAGUCUUGAACUCUUAGUGGCGCAGCUAACGCAUUAAGUUGACCGCCUGGGGAGUACGGCCGCAAGGUUAAAACUCAAAUGAAUUGACGGGGGCCCCGCACAAGCGGUGGAGCAUGUGUUUUANUUCNAAGCACCGCNAAAACCUUACCUGGCCUUGANAUGCUGAAAACUUUNUANANAAAANAUNGGUGCCUUCGGNANCUCAAACCAGGUNCUGCAUGGCUUNCNUCNCCUNGUGUCNUGGN
This 982-nucleotide ribosomal RNA is filed under the name Pseudomonas sp. SMT-1. Its description in RNAcentral is "bacterial SSU rRNA". It matches the Rfam family "Bacterial small subunit ribosomal RNA", at positions 94 to 1071 of the family's 1533-position model. Lineage: Bacteria; Pseudomonadati; Pseudomonadota; Gammaproteobacteria; Pseudomonadales; Pseudomonadaceae. The record is from RNAcentral.